CCACUUCCCAGUCGGAGACAACUCUUCACUUACCAGGUUAAUGUAUUUUCCAGUUUAAAUGUUAUGUAGAUAAACUUUACAUCUUUUGGCACAUUGAUAUAUUUAGUCUCAUGAAUUGAUUUUUUGAGCAUCUUUUGUCAGGGGUUUUCCUAACCUUUCUUUUUGCUGUUGUCAUCUUCUCUUGUAGUUUUUUUGGAUGCUUGGCAUUUGUCAAUAUUGUUUUGAAUAUUA
This 231-nucleotide long non-coding RNA is filed under the name Manihot esculenta (cassava). Its description in RNAcentral is "long non-coding RNA (MESC_LNC006859)". Lineage: Eukaryota; Viridiplantae; Streptophyta; Magnoliopsida; Malpighiales; Euphorbiaceae. The record is from RNAcentral.